RNAcentral lists this ribosomal RNA (262 nucleotides) under uncultured bacterium. Its description in RNAcentral is "partial 16S ribosomal RNA". The record is from RNAcentral.
CUGCUGCCUUCCGUAGGAGUUUGGACCGUGUCUCAGUUCCAAUGUGGCCGAUCACCCUCUCAGGUCGGCUACUGAUCGUCGCCUUGGUAGGCCGUUACCCCACCAACUAACUAAUCAGACGCAGGCCCAUCCUUUGCCGAUAAAUAUUUGGCUGAAUCCCCAUGCGGACUCUCAGCUUCAUGAGGUUUUAAUCCCGGUUUCCCGAGGCUAUCCCUCUGCAAAGGGCAGGUUGCCUACGCGUUACUCACCCGUCCGCCGCUUU